CCCCGGUAAACGGCGGCCGUAACUAUAACGGUCCUAAGGUAGCGAAAUUCCUUGUCGGGUAAGUUCCGACCUGCACGAAUGGCGUAAUGAUGGCCAGGCUGUCUCCACCCGAGACUCAGUGAAAUUGAACUCGCUGUGAAGAUGCAGUGUACCCGCGGCAAGACGGAAAGACCCCGUGAACCUUUACUAUAGCUUGACACUGAACAUUGAGCCUUGAUGUGUAGGAUAGGUGGGAGGCUUUGAAGCGUGGACGCCAGUCUGCGUGGAGCCGACCUUGAAAUACCACCCUUUAAUGUUUGAUGUUCUAACGUGGACCCGUAAUCCGGGUUGCGGACAGUGUCUGGUGGGUAGUUUGACUGGGGCGGUCUCCUCCUAAAGAGUAACGGAGGAGCACGAAGGUUGGCUAAUCCUGGUCGGACAUCAGGAGGUUAGUGCAAUGGCAUAAGCCAGCUUGACUGCGAGCGUGACGGCGCGAGCAGGUGCGAAAGCAGGUCAUAGUGAUCCGGUGGUUCUGAAUGGAAGGGCCAUCGCUCAACGGAUAAAAGGUACUCCGGGGAUAACAGGCUGAUACCGCCCAAGAGUUCAUAUCGACGGCGGUGUUUGGCACCUCGAUGUCGGCUCAUCACAUCCUGGGGCUGAAGUAGGUCCCAAGGGUAUGGCUGUUCGCCAUUUAAAGUGGUACGCGAGCUGGGUUUAGAACGUCGUGAGACAGUUCGGUCCCUA
Molecule: ribosomal RNA, 723 nt
Filed under: Salmonella enterica
Lineage: Bacteria; Pseudomonadati; Pseudomonadota; Gammaproteobacteria; Enterobacterales; Enterobacteriaceae
Also listed under: 3 other names
Description: partial 23S ribosomal RNA
Rfam family: Bacterial large subunit ribosomal RNA
Source: RNAcentral